RNAcentral lists this transfer RNA (71 nucleotides) under Boodlea composita. RNAcentral's name for it is "tRNA-Ser". The record is from RNAcentral. Lineage: Eukaryota; Viridiplantae; Chlorophyta; Ulvophyceae; Cladophorales; Boodleaceae.
CGCCACUUGGCCCAGUAGGGCAUUCGAGGUUGAAACCGAAGUGGGACACGCGGAGUACGACCCGGUGGCCA